Molecule: small nuclear RNA, 112 nt
Organism: Chrysemys picta bellii (western painted turtle)
Lineage: Eukaryota; Metazoa; Chordata; Testudines; Emydidae
Source: Ensembl
AGGCCUUUCCCCUGGAAGGGGCCCGUACACUGAAAGUGGACCAAUACAGAGACAAUUAGCCUGACCCCAGACCAAGGAAGACACACAAAUUUGUGAAGUUGCCUAGUGGGGA